RNAcentral lists this ribosomal RNA (253 nucleotides) under uncultured bacterium. RNAcentral describes it as "partial 16S ribosomal RNA". It matches the Rfam family "Bacterial small subunit ribosomal RNA", at positions 524 to 776 of the family's 1533-position model. The record is from RNAcentral.
UACGUAGGGGGCAAGCGUUGUCCGGAUUUAUUGGGCGUAAAGAGCGUGUAGGCGGCUUUACAGGUCCGUUGUGAAAACUCGAGGCUCAACCUCGAGACGCCGGUGGAAACCGUAAAGCUAGAGUCCGGAAGAGGAGAGUGGAAUUCCUGGUGUAGCGGUGAAAUGCGCAGAUAUCAGGAAGAACACCCGUGGCGAAGGCGGGUCUCUGGGCCGAUACUGACGCUGAGGAGCGAAAGCGUGGGGAGCGAACAGG